GACGAACGCUGGCGGCGUGCUUAACACAUGCAAGUCGAACGCUGAAGCUUGGUGCUUGCACUGGGUGGAUGAGUGGCGAACGGGUGAGUAAUAAGUGAGUAACCUGCCCUUGACUCUGGGAUAAGCCUGGGAAACUGGGUCUAAUACUGGAUACGACAUGUCACCGCAUGGUGGUGUGUGGAAAGGGUUUUACUGGUUUUGGAUGGGCUCACGGCCUAUCAGCUUGUUGGUGGGGUAAUGGCUCACCAAGGCGACGACGGGUAGCCGGCCUGAGAGGGUGACCGGCCACACUGGGACUGAGACACGGCCCAGACUCCUACGGGAGGCAGCAGUGGGGAAUAUUGCACAAUGGGCGGAAGCCUGAUGCAGCGACGCCGCGUGAGGGAUGACGGCCUUCGGGUGGUAAACCUCUUUCAGCACGGAAGAAGCGAAAGUGACGGUACGUGCAGAAGAAGCGCCGGCUAACUACGU
This 471-nucleotide ribosomal RNA is filed under the name uncultured bacterium. RNAcentral's name for it is "partial 16S ribosomal RNA". It matches the Rfam family "Bacterial small subunit ribosomal RNA", at positions 28 to 506 of the family's 1533-position model. The record is from RNAcentral.